This 429-nucleotide ribosomal RNA is filed under the name Bacteroidota bacterium. Its description in RNAcentral is "Bacteroidetes bacterium partial 16S ribosomal RNA". It matches the Rfam family "Bacterial small subunit ribosomal RNA", at positions 355 to 776 of the family's 1533-position model. The record is from RNAcentral. Lineage: Bacteria; Pseudomonadati; Bacteroidota.
UAGGGAAUCUUCCGCAAUGGGCGAAAGCCUGACGGAGCAACGCCGCGUGAGUGAUGAAGGUCUUCGGAUCGUAAAACUCUGUUAUUAGGGAAGAAUAAAUGUGUAAGUAACUAUGCACGUCUUGACGGUACCUAAUCAGAAAGCCACGGCUAACUACGUGCCAGCAGCCGCGGUAAUACGUAGGUGGCAAGCGUUAUCCGGAAUUAUUGGGCGUAAAGCGCGCGUAGGCGGUUUUUUAAGUCUGAUGUGAAAGCCCACGGCUCAACCGUGGAGGGUCAUUGGAAACUGGAAAACUUGAGUGCAGAAGAGGAAAGUGGAAUUCCAUGUGUAGCGGUGAAAUGCGCAGAGAUAUGGAGGAACACCGGUGGCGAAAGCGGCUCUCUGGUCUGUAACUGACGCUGAGGCUCGAAAGCGUGGGGAGCGAACAGG